AAUAGAUGACGCCGUUGACUUUUUCUCACAUAUUUGACCAUUCGUCUUGUUCAAAAAAUUUACGUAAUUAUAAUUUAUUUUGUUAUGGGUUGCUUUAUCACUCAUAGUUCUUUAAAUGUGAUUUAUAUCUUAUACAUUUGCAUAAAAUUUUUAAAUAAGACGAAUGGUAAAACAUAUGAGAAAAAGUCAACGGCGUCGUCUGUU
MicroRNA precursor from Oryza sativa Japonica Group (Japanese rice), 204 nucleotides. It matches the Rfam family "MIR812 microRNA precursor family". The record is from Rfam. NCBI's taxonomy places the organism in Eukaryota, Viridiplantae, Streptophyta, Magnoliopsida, Poales, Poaceae.